AUCAUUUAUCUUACAUACUUAUUGUGUAAGGUGCUGUUAAUGAUGACUUAAAGUUGAAACAGAUGGGAAUCUCUCUGACAGAGAAUGAAGAUUAACGUUAAACUGAAACAGUAGUUGGAAAAUAUUUAGAAAUAUCUUUGUUAAAAACCUAUUGCUAAGUUAGACUAAAUUCCUGCAGGUACACAGACUCAGCUUGGGAAGCAGUGGCAAGAAGUUUUAAGCAAAGAUCCUACCCUGUAUUUUCCAUUAAUGCCAGGAGUGAAGCUGGACAAGGUGUGUCUAUGAUCCUCCUAUCUACACUAUCCUGAGGGAUGACCAUCUCAUGAGCCCAGGAGAAGCAAUAAUGAGAACUCAUGAUUGGGGAGGUGUGCUGCAUCCUGAGAUCUAGGGCUUUUGUGGCAGCUGCAGGGAUAUCACUUAACCUUUAGGAAGCUGGAUGGAUGCUCUUCUCUUGGGAUAGAAGAUUGAAUAUGUCAUCACUUUAAGUUUCUGAAGAGAUCUGAGUCUAGUUUUGGGCUGGGGGUUGAACCCAUGAAGUAUAUUUCAAGCAUGAUGGGGAAGGGAAUAAAGGUGCCUAAUAAAAGUCACUAAGGAAAAUUUUA
Molecule: non-coding RNA, 602 nt
Organism: Marmota flaviventris (yellow-bellied marmot)
Lineage: Eukaryota; Metazoa; Chordata; Mammalia; Rodentia; Sciuridae
Source: RefSeq, a predicted model, not a curated record